This 1377-nucleotide ribosomal RNA is filed under the name uncultured bacterium. Its description in RNAcentral is "bacterial SSU rRNA". It matches the Rfam family "Bacterial small subunit ribosomal RNA", at positions 28 to 1381 of the family's 1533-position model. The record is from RNAcentral.
GACGAACGCUGGCGGCGUGCCUAAUACAUGCAAGUAGGACGCACAGUUUAUACCGUAGCUUGCUACACCAUAAACUGUGAGUUGCGAACGGGUGAGUAACGCGUAGGUAACCUGCCUGGUAGCGGGGGAUAACUAUUGGAAACGAUAGCUAAUACCGCAUAAUAUUGAUUAUUGCAUGAUAAUUGAUUGAAAGAUGCUAUUGCAUCACUACCAGAUGGACCUGCGUUGUAUUAGCUAGUAGGUGAGGUAACGGCUCACCUAGGCGACGAUACAUAGCCGACCUGAGAGGGUGAUCGGCCACACUGGGACUGAGACACGGCCCAGACUCCUACGGGAGGCAGCAGUAGGGAAUCUUCGGCAAUGGACGAAAGUCUGACCGAGCAACGCCGCGUGAGUGAAGAAGGUUUUCGGAUCGUAAAGCUCUGUUGUAAGAGAAGAACGGGUGUGAGAGUGGAAAGUUCACACUGUGACGGUAUCUUACCAGAAAGGGACGGCUAACUACGUGCCAGCAGCCGCGGUAAUACGUAGGUCCCGAGCGUUGUCCGGAUUUAUUGGGCGUAAAGCGAGCGCAGGCGGUUAGAUAAGUCUGAAGUUAAAGGCUGUGGCUUAACCAUAGUACGCUUUGGAAACUGUUUAACUUGAGUGCAGAAGGGGAGAGUGGAAUUCCAUGUGUAGCGGUGAAAUGCGUAGAUAUAUGGAGGAACACCGGUGGCGAAAGCGGCUCUCUGGUCUGUAACUGACGCUGAGGCUCGAAAGCGUGGGGAGCGAACAGGAUUAGAUACCCUGGUAGUCCACGCCGUAAACGAUGAGUGCUAGGUGUUAGGCCCUUUCCGGGGCUUAGUGCCGCAGCUAACGCAUUAAGCACUCCGCCUGGGGAGUACGACCGCAAGGUUGAAACUCAAAGGAAUUGACGGGGGCCCGCACAAGCGGUGGAGCAUGUGGUUUAAUUCGAAGCAACGCGAAGAACCUUACCAGGUCUUGACAUCCCGAUGCCCGCUCUAGAGAUAGAGUUUUACUUCGGUACAUCGGUGACAGGUGGCGCAUGGUUGUCGUCAGCUCGUGUCGUGAGAUGUUGGGUUAAGUCCCGCAACGAGCGCAACCCUUAUUGUUAGUUGCCAUCAUUCAGUUGGGCACUCUAGCGAGACUGCCGGUAAUAAACCGGAGGAAGGUGGGGAUGACGUCAAAUCAUCAUGCCCCUUAUGACCUGGGCUACACACGUGCUACAAUGGCUGGUACAACGAGUCGCAAGUCGGUGACGGCAAGCUAAUCUCUUAAAGCCAGUCUCAGUUCGGAUUGUAGGCUGCAACUCGCCUACAUGAAGUCGGAAUCGCUAGUAAUCGCGGAUCAGCACGCCGCGGUGAAUACGUUCCCGGGCCU